RNAcentral lists this ribosomal RNA (490 nucleotides) under uncultured bacterium. RNAcentral's name for it is "partial 16S ribosomal RNA". It matches the Rfam family "Bacterial small subunit ribosomal RNA", at positions 30 to 507 of the family's 1533-position model. The record is from RNAcentral.
AUUGAACGCUGGCGGCAGGCCUAACACAUGCAAGUCGAACGGUAACAGGAAGAUGCUUGCUUCUUUGCUGACGCGUGGCGGACGGGUGAGUAAUGUCUGGGAAACUGCCUGAUGGAGGGGGAUAACUACUGGAAACGGUAGCUAAUACCGCAUAACGUCGCAAGACCAAAGAGGGGGACCUUCGGGCCUCUUGCCAUCGGAUGUGCCCAGAUGGGAUUAGCUAGUAGGUGGGGUAACGGCUCACCUAGGCGACGAUCCCUAGCUGGUCUGAGAGGAUGACCAGCCACACUGGAACUGAGACACGGUCCAGACUCCUACGGGAGGCAGCAGUGGGGAAUAUUGCACAAUGGGCGCAAGCCUGAUGCAGCCAUGCCGCGUGUAUGAAGAAGGCCUUCGGGUUGUAAAGUACUUUCAGCGGGGAGGAAGGGAGUAAAGUUAAUACCUUUGCUCAUUGACGUUACCCGCAGAAGAAGCACCGGCUAACUCCGUG